GUCCUGGUUGCCUGUUUCCUGCAGAAGUCUUCUGUGUUAUAACUUAAGGUGAAUGGUAAUAUUAACACUGGCUGUUCGAAACAAAAGAGUGAUCUUGAUCUAGUCACUCAUGCCCAAAGGGAUGUGUGGGGCCCCUGAAUACAGGAGGGGUUAAAAAGUGAUUCCUAUGAUCAGCAGUGAAUUUAAAGAAGCUCUGCAGUGUAGAGAAACAAGGGAUUCCAGACACACUUCUCCAUUUGGCAUUUCUUUCAGCAGCUUGACUGACUGAGGCCUCUGGCUGCUGGGAAUCCCAUUGCUAUGCAUGUAAGUGCUUUGUGAUCUCACAGGGGUUGCAGCCUGGGCUAAGACUGCACAGCCUGCUCUGGAAGCUGGGCCCCUGCAGCAGAAGUGAGCAUAACAUCACCAUAUGUGAGUCCCACUGAAGAUGCAAGCAGCAUUGGCCCAAGGAAAUGGAAGGCGGGUGUCCGGUGUCCUCAGGCCUGCUUCAGUAUUUUGACAGACACCUGGAGUAGGAUGUGAACCAGAUUUAACAGAAAACUGCUUAACACUUUGUGAAGAAGAGCCUUCCGCUAGGCUUAAGAACUGGAUUAGAAAUGACUGGAUUUCUCAUGAAGGAGGCAUCAGUCAUGAAGUUUUAUUUCUUUGAGUGCUCUCAAGAGACCAGGCAGAUCUGAUCUGCAAGGAGCACUGCUGACUCAGGCUGCUGCGGGAAGGUGUCGAAGGUCAGCCAAGGAAAUCUCUGACCUUCAGUUUGCCACUGACUGUCACUUGGGUUUUCCUGCCUGGAAGAGAGGCGGUGGCCUGGGGUAGCUGGGGAGGAAACAGAGACCAGAACCAUUGACCUCAAUCUAAACACAGUACAGAAAAAGACAAUGAACUCUAGGAGGAAAAACACAGGAGUGAUUUACCUAGGAGGAAGUGAGAAUAUUAAAUUCUUUUAAGUAACUUCAGGAGGUGUAAUAGAGGAAAUCUAUUGAAAACACACAGAGAAGACAGCUGUUUCUAGCCAGCCAGUCCUGUGACACACAGAAGUGUGGGAUAUCUACUAUAUAAUUCAUAUUUUACAAAUUAUUAAAUCUGUGAAUGCCAUGGGAUUAUUGCAGUUGUGCAUUCGUACUGUUUUUCUGCAUCUGGAAAAGUAGAAAGGUUAUAAACUGUAAUAAAUUCAUCCUAAUUUAUCUGUUCAUCUGACUGUAUAUUCAACGUGGCAAAAUUGUAAGCCCACUUGUCCAGUGUUGACAAAGAUUUUUAAUGUGGGUCACAGUGACCUGUGAUGAAGUUGCUCUCAUUGAAGGUCUGCUUUACCCGUUUUACAUAGCACUACCUCUUGUUCUUCCUCUCCCUCUUCUCUCCUCUUCCCUCUUUCAUAUAUCUAAAAAUAUGUUGUGUUUAAUACAGAGAACUGUAGCUAUGUGAAUUGCCAAAAUGCUGGUAAGAUUUUGGUUUUUCCUUUUCUGCAGAGUUUGCACAAGUGUGUCGCCUUGGCUUUAAGUUUUCACAAGACUUCUGCUCUUGAAGCUUAUCCUUACCAGAGAGUGAGAAGGCCUUUGUACAGUCAAGCUGCUUUUUAAAAAACAUGGGAAAGUGGCUGGAAGACCAGUUUUUAACAGUGGACAAGUUAUCAAUAGUAACUUACACAAUCACACUCCGAACAGAAAUUCUUUGAUUUUAUUCAUUACAAUAUUAUAUUACAGUGACUCUGGUUUCCAUGUACUAGAAGUGUAUAUCAUAUCCUUAUGUUCUUAGACACAGAGAUCAUUAACAUACGUACAGGGUAAUUCUUAUACUCUAACUGCGCCUGGCUGACUGACGGCACCUAUGCAUGUGGAGGGGACAGAGCACCAGAAUUUAUGUCUCUUAAAGGAAUUGUGUCCUGUCAGAUGAUGAAGAUUAAAUAAUGGAAAGUAUUUUCUUUC
Long non-coding RNA from Harpia harpyja (harpy eagle), 1916 nucleotides. RefSeq lists it as uncharacterized. NCBI's taxonomy places the organism in Eukaryota, Metazoa, Chordata, Aves, Accipitriformes, Accipitridae. The record is from RefSeq and is a predicted model, not a curated record. The transcript has 2 exons.